This is a long non-coding RNA of Prinia subflava (tawny-flanked prinia), 543 nucleotides long. RefSeq lists it as uncharacterized. The record is from RefSeq and is a predicted model, not a curated record. The transcript is spliced from 4 exons. Lineage: Eukaryota; Metazoa; Chordata; Aves; Passeriformes; Cisticolidae.
UUGCCUUCACUGUAUUCCAGUUCAUGCUUGCACCUUUUAUUUUUUUUCACAACUCUUUAGGCUUCAGCCCUUCUGACAUGACCCCACAAGGAAUAUUGGAUGAUAAACAACACGCAUGUGGCAGGAAGAUCAAUAGACUAAGACUGGAAUGUGAAACGUGGGAUAUAGCAGCACAACAGUAAAGAGAUGCUACAGGAAGUGUUCGUGCUGGCAGCCUAGAUGUGUGGAGCCAAGAAAAAGAAUGGAAUGAUACUCUGCCCUUUCCUGGGAUCAGACAACAGGAUGCUACCUCCCACAAUCAGGACAUCCUUGGAUCGUCAGAACAAGUUUAUGAAGGUUUAGGAUACUGAUCACUUAAGGUGCUUCUGUUCCAGGCACAGGAAACUUGAAACUAUGUCUUAAAGGUCCUGGGACCACGAAAAAAGACAAAUCUACAUGGAUGCAACAGGCCAUCAAGUAAACAAGACCAUCAAGUAAACAAAAGGAAACUUAACUACUUGGAACAAAAGAGGAGUAGCAUCAAAAACAUUUUGGGAUGUACCA